GUGUCUAUAGCGGUCAGAGCCAGGUUUUCAGGUCAGAUGGGGUCUGCUUUGCCAUUGAAUAAUAAUGAAUUAAAUUUUUGCUUCAGGGCUUUUGCAAGAUUGAAGUAGAGUUUUCACAAUUCUAAGAUUCACUAGAUUCUGCAUGCCUUCAGCUAUACAUGAAAUUUAAAGACACUUAUGGGAGGACAGAUACAUUGAAAACAAACAACAAGGCUGACAAAACAUCACAGGAGACACUACUGCACAACCAGUGAUGAGGACUGAAUUCUCCAUUGUCUGCCCCCUACAUUUUGGCUGAUGGCAACUCUAGUUCUGAGGUGUAGUGGGCUCGUAGGAUAAUAGGUAGUCCUAUCUGGCUGGAGUAAGGAGGAGAAGCUUGGAGAGGUAAGGGACAAGCCCAGGAAGGCUGUAAAGGCCGAGCUAAUGAGUGUGAUCUUCAAAGGUUAGUCCAGGGAGCUAUGGAUGGUCUCAGGAUUUUGCCCUCCAUCCACUCUUGGUUCCAGUUGCAAACACCUGCUGAUCAUCAUAAUGAACCAUCUCCUUUGCCAGUCCUUCUUCUGCAUUGCUUUCUCUCUCUCAUUCAAUCUACAUCUCUCUGCUCUCUCAAACCUAACUCAAUUUUAGUCCUGUUCAGGAAUAUGACUGGCCUGCCUUGACUUGGUUACCCCAAAGACUCCUUAGUAAUUUUGCACCCUGUCCCCCAUAGACUUAACCUAAAUUUCUAUAGUAGGGACAUUACUGAAGGUGGUUCGUGGAGGCAAUGUUUGGUACACUGACCCUCUGCUUUUCCAUACACUUUCAAUAUGAAAUUGUCCAUGUCUUUCUCUGGAACACUUUUUAGCAUACAAAUCCAAUAAAAUCACAUUUACCAAAUCAGUCACCUUUUGGAAAUCAUAUCUAAAAGUUAUUUGAGUCAAGUUUUUCCUGAUGAAAUAAUAAUGCAAAAAUAAGUCUUAAUAUAAAUGCAAAAGAACUAAGGUUAUUUUUUAAAUUAUAGUAACUUAAAGGUUUAAGGGAAAAAUUAUAGCAGUAGCUUAUCUGAACAGCAUUUGUUGAUAUAAAAAAAAUACCAAAUGGUUUAAGAAACCUGUAGGUGAAAUGCAUGUUUCUCUGGAUACACAGAUCUUUUCCCUCCCCCACCAUGCUAGAAUUUUGUAGGCACAACUGGUUUUUAUAAAAUGAACAAGGUGGUGCGGGCUGAGGGAAGGGGCAGCAUUAAAGUAAAAGCAAACACAAGAAUUCGAAACCUUCAGUAAAUGAACAAUUUGUAACCCCCUGUGUUGCCAUAUUUUCUUCUCUGCUUCGUCCUCAUAUUUUCACACAGCUAAUAAGGGGAAGAGCUGGGACUCCAGCAGUUCUAGCUCCAUAUUCAUAUCUCUUUGCAAUUUACUACAACUGCUGUCAACAGUGUUCGUUAAUCUUUGAACAUUUUCUUCUUUAUGACUACUAGACCUCACUACUAUCACAGUUAUCUCUAAACACAGAUGUCAAAAACAGAACCAUUCUUUCUCUUUGCCUUCAAACUUGCUUCUCUUUUAUGGCCUGGUUACUAGCAUUGUCUUCAACUCAGACACUCAACAUAUCUACUUUGGGUCAUAUUUGAUUCUUCUUUCUUCCCCACUAUGAUAAAUUCAUUCUUAUGGAUUCUGCUGUCAUGAUGCCUCUCAGUUUCUCCUCUUCUUUUCUUUCCUGCUUCAGUCAUGUUGGUUCAGGUUUUCGUUUCUUCUUACUUACACAACUGCAACAGUUCCUAGCUGCUCUCUCAGCUUCCAGUAUUUCACUUCCUUCCAAUCUAUUCUUUAAAACAGAGAAACUGUAUUUCUGUUCCUCUUAUACCUGGAGUAUCCUUUCCCUGUCUGUACCAUGUAAAAAUUUAUUCAUCCUAUGAAGACAGCCCAACAUAUCCUUUCUUCUUUCUCCAUUGUGGUACAGUUAUUGCAUCAAUGACCCCAAUUAAAUGGACUCUUUGUGUCUAUGUCCUAUUGUAUAAAUCCAUUUUCAUGCUGCUAUUAAGAAAUAUCUGAGACUGGGUAAUUUAUAAAGAAAAGAGGCUUAACUGACUCACAGUUCUGCAUGGCUGGGGAGGUCCCAGAAAACUUACAAUCAUGGCAGAAGGCACUUCUUCACAGGGUGGCAGGAGAGAGAAUGAUUGUAAGCAGGGGAAAUGCCAGAUGCCUAUAAAACCAUGAGAUCUCAUGAGACUCACUCACUAUUAUGAGAACAGCAUGGGAGAAACUGCCCUUGUGAUCCAGUUACCUCCACCUGGUCCCACCCUCAAUACAUGGGGGUUAUGGGGAUUAUGAUUCAAGAUGAGAUUUUGGGUGGGGACACAGCACAACCAUAUCAUUCUGCCCCUGGCUUCUCCCAGAUCUCAUAUCCUCAUAUAUCAAAACACAAUCAUGCCUUUCCAAUAGUCCUCCAAAGCCUUAACUCAUUUCAGUAUUAACCAAAAAGUCCAAGUCCAAAGUCUCAUCGGAGACAAGGCAAGUUUCUUCUGCCUAUGAGCCUGUAAAAUCAAAAGCAAGUUAGUUACUUCCUAGACACAUGAGGGUACAGGCAUUGAGUAAAUACACCCAUUCCAAAUUGGAGAAAUUGGCCAAAACAAAGGGGCUACAGGACCCAUGCAAGUCCAAAAUUCAAUAAGGCAGCCAUUAAACCUUAAAGUUCCAAAAUGAUGUCCUUUGAGUCCAUGUCUCACAUCCAGGUCACGCUGAUGCAAGAUGUGGUCUCCCAUGGCCUUUGGCACCUAUGUACUGUUACUUGAUGGCACCUUCAGAAAUUGACAUCAAGCUUAGUCUUUGAUUUGCUUUGACUAAUGGGAUAGUAACAAAAUUGAAGCAAGCAGAGGCCUGAAAAAAAAAAAAAAAAAGCACAUGUCAAUUUCUGUUUCCAUCCCCCCCUCCCUUCUUGAUCCUCUGAAUUUUCUCUGAGGACACAUCUGGGGGAAUUCUGCUGGAAAAUGAGACACAGAACAGCUCAGUCCAGGUGACGUAUGUAGCCAAAGCCAUUCUGGGCUGGCCAUUCACCACCUGACUGCAUAUAUAAUUGAGCCAAGCUGUAAUUAGCAGAAUCAUUCAGCUGACCCUUAGACCCGUGAGAAAUAGUAAGUGGUUGAUGCUUUGAGUCCAAGUUUGGGGGUGCUAUCUUAUGCAGCAAUGGCUGAUACAUCCACUAUGCUUCUUUCUGAAUUAUUCCCAAGGCAUUUCACAUAUACUAUUAUUGUAACAUUUAUCGUGUUCUAUUCUCCUGUAAUACUAAAUUUCUUUAAGUCGGGUGCUAAAUUUUUAUAUCCCCAGUAUUUAGCACAUUCCCUAGAGCACAUAGGCAUAGAGUAAGUACUUAAAACAUGUUUACUUAACAAGUUAAAUGUACACCAACUCAUCCCUCUCCAAUCUAUUACAAAGCAAUUGAGUAAAAAAAAAAAAUUUUUUUUCCCCAUUUUAUUCUAUUUUUUUUUUUCCGUUUUAUUCCUUCGGGUUCAGCAAGACUGUUUUGUCAAGACUAUGUGUUUAACUGUGAAAUAAACAUCUACAAAUGUUCAAAAAUUAGUGUUUGUUUAUAAAUGUUUCUUUCUUUCAAACCUUAUAUUUGAAGAUUAAGUACUUUUGUAAGCUGAAGCUCCAGUUCAUGGUUUACAACAGUCCAAGGGAAGGACGUGUAUUGGAUCUUGGAUUUGGAGACAAUGUCUUUGUUCCAGGAUAGAGACAGUAUAGGGAUUUAGAGAAAGGAAGGAGGGAGCUGAGAGAUCGUUGAGCAAUUAUUGCAAAGUCUGCCUUCCCCUUCACUGUAGACAAUGGUAAAAUCUAUAUGGCAAUUUAAUGGAAUCAUCUUUUUCCUCUUGGAAAACCCAAAUCAAGUUUCACAGAGAAAACUAUACAGGCAACACCGGCUGUUGUUUCCAUGCAGAGAAGUGAAAAUGACUAGAUAGUUUUGAUUAUUUUUGCAGAAAUAUGUGCAUAUAUUUGACAGUCUCUAAAUCUUCCCUAAAACACUCUUUAUGU
Molecule: long non-coding RNA, 4001 nt
Filed under: Homo sapiens (human)
Lineage: Eukaryota; Metazoa; Chordata; Mammalia; Primates; Hominidae
Description: HSALNT0193726
Source: RNAcentral